This 1890-nucleotide ribosomal RNA is filed under the name Triticum aestivum (bread wheat). RNAcentral's name for it is "partial small subunit ribosomal RNA". Lineage: Eukaryota; Viridiplantae; Streptophyta; Magnoliopsida; Poales; Poaceae. The record is from RNAcentral.
AUGGUGCGAGGCCUGCCAUGCCUCGACCAUGUGGAGCAGUUCUGCGACAUCUGCGUACCGACAAAGCAGAGACGACUCCCCUUUCCCCAACAGGCGAGUUUUCGGGCUAAGGAGAAGCUGGAGCUCGUGCACGGAGACCUGUGCGGCCCGGUGACGCCAGCCACACCAGGAGGUCGACGCUACUUCCUGCUGCUCGUCGACGAUCUCUCCCGCUACAUGUGGGUGAUGAUCCUCGGCAGUAAGGGAGAAGCGGCGGACGCCAUCAGGCGCGCGCAGGUUGGUGUGGAGGCGGAGAGCGGCCGCAAAUUGCGCGUGUUGCGCACUGACAACGGCGGCGAGUUCACGGCGGCUGAAUUCGCGUCGUACUGCGCCGAUGAGGGCAUCCAGCGCCACUACUCCGCGCCGUACAGCCCGCAGCAAAACGGCGUCGUCGAGCGGCGCAACCAGACGGUUGUGGGGUGGCUCGGGCUCUCCUCAAGCAGAGGGAUGCCGGCUGUCUUCUGGGGAGAGGCAGUGUUAACGGCCGUCUACAUCCUCAACCGCUCUCCUACUAAGGCACUCGACGGCAGAACUCCGUACGAGGCCUGGCAUGGGCGGAAGCCGGCGGUCUCUCAUUUGCGGGUCUUUGGCUGCCUUGCGUUCGCCAAGGAGCUCGGCCACAUCGGCAAGCUCGACGACAGGAGCACUCCGGGAGUCUUCAUCGGCUACGCGGAGGGCUCAAAGGCCUACCGCAUCCUCGACCCAAAGACACAACAUGUGCGCACAGCGCGAGACGUCGUGUUCAACGAAGGGCGAGGGUGGCAAUGGGACAAGGCGGUGGACGACGGCUCGACGCCGACGUAUGACGACUUCAUUGUCGAGUACGCCCACUUCAAGGAAGCUGGGGGAGCAAGCAGCUCCUCUUCACCGGGCACGUCUACCCCGGCCCCCAAAACUACAUCGACUCCGGCGCCUGCUACACCGACGACACCACAACCGGCGACGCCGCAUACUCCAGCCCCGACGGUCGCCACUCCGGGCUCGUCUUCAUCAGCACCAGCUCACGCAGAGCACAACCCGAUGAAGUUCGCUUCCCCGCUCACUCACGACGAGGAGCGGGUCGACGCAUGGUAUGGAGGCGAACAGCUGCGGUAUCGCACGAUGGAUGAUCUACUCGGCGACCAGCCGGUGCCGGGACUGAUGCCACGAGACCUGGAGGCGCAGCUACAACUCGCGUGUGAGGACGGCGAACCACGGUCCUUUGCAGAGGCCGAGAGAGAUGCGGCAUGGCGCGCCGCGAUGCAGUUGGAGAUGGAUGCGGUCGAGCAAAACCGCACCUGGGAGCUCGCUGACCUCCCCCGUGGUCAUCGCGCAAUCACCCUUAAGUGGGUGUUCAAGCUGAAGAGGGAUGGAGCCGGCGCCAUCAUCAAGCACAAGGCUCGCCUGGUGGCCCGAGGCUUCUUGCAGCAGGAAGGAGUCGACUUCGACGACGCCUUCGCUCCCGUGGCACGGAUGGAGUCCGUGCGACUUCUCCUUGCGCUGGCUGCCCAGGAGGGCUGGCGUGUCCACCACAUGGACGUUAAGUCGGCAUUCCUCAACGGCGACUUGAAGGAGGAAGUCUACGUGCAUCAGCCACCUGGGUUUACGAUUCCCGGCCAGGAGGGCAAGGUGCUCCGCCUACGCAAGGCUCUCUAUGGCCUGCGGCAGGCACCCAGGGCGUGGAACGCCAAGCUGGACUCCACGCUGAAGAAGAUGGGUUUCGAGCAGAGCCCGCAUGAGGCUGCCGUCUACCGACGGGGGAGUGGAGGAAAUGCCCUGCUGGUGGGCGUCUACGUUGAUGACCUGGUGAUCACCGGCACCAAAGGUGCAGAGGUGGCGGCGUUCAAGGAAGACAUGAAGGCCACGUUCUAG